Trichomycterus rosablanca is the source of this 2175-nucleotide RNA transcript. It is a transcript of the gene named centrosomal protein 70, with no coding region annotated. The transcript is spliced from 17 exons. Lineage: Eukaryota; Metazoa; Chordata; Actinopteri; Siluriformes; Trichomycteridae. The record is from RefSeq and is a predicted model, not a curated record.
UUUCGAACACAAGAGGAACCGCCGGUUUUGUUUUUAUAAAUAAUCACAUCAAAGUAAUCAACAACACGAUAUUGUUUCUCCAGUUACAACCUGCGGAACUUCUCCAUAUCUGCAAGUCAGGGAAAAGAUUCUCCAUGACGGCAAGAUGGUGACGCAGGAGCAGACCGAGUGGGAUGCCGUCAACAGGAUGCUGCAACAUCAUGGCUUUAAGCCCGUUCGUUUUGCAGAUCCGACCGAGAACAAAAACCUUGCAGACCUGGUCCUGCUGGAAAAGACGUCGGCGGCCGAACUGCUCGUCGCGCUGAGAACGACGUUGACAGAUUCGGAGAGGAGACAGGCCCUCGUUCAGGAGCUCAUUCGGUCCAACGCCGGUCUCAAACAGGAAGCGGAGCAUCAGCGGGCCCGAGCGGCACGUCAGUCUCGGAGAGCGGAGGAGCUAGAAGGCGUUCUGUCUGGGGUAAAAGUCAAAGUUCAGGGCCUGGAAGACUCAAUCAUCAGUAAAGCAGCUCACAGGCAGGGUCAACUGCAACGACUCCAGCAGGACAAGAGAGACGUAGAGGCUUUGCAACAGGAGCUUAGCACGCAGAAGGAGCUGGUAUCUCGGCUCCAACGAAAGCUUCACCAAGCUGCCAAAGAGGAGGAGAACCGUGUCGCUCGGCAGAACCGAGCUUCCCGACGGUUCCACCUUCAGUUACCCGGUGACCAGCUUUGUACGACGUUCUCGAUCAGCGACGGCGGUCAGAGAUGCGGCUCUCGCGAGACGAGCGACGACUCGGACUCCUCACGGAACGGGGACGCCUCGGCCUCGACUCUGUCCAGUUAUAAAGCUCUGCUCGAGUCGUAUCAGGAGCAGCUGAAGAAGAUCGAACGUCGGCGCGAAGAACUGAAGACGGAGAUCCGACGGCUGAAACUAGACCUCGAGUCCAGGCCAGAAGACGCAGCAGCUCGGCGGGCCGAAGCCGAGACACGGCGGCUCGCAGACGAUCGAAAAGACCUCGAGGAUCUCCAGCGUUCUGUCGGCAGACCGACGCGGAGGCUUCCGCCUCGGCGGUGGGAGGACAGAACGAGCUCGCGUCCCGACCGCGUAAACGUGGAAGACGUGACGCGUACGGCGGACACGCCGCUGGAAGAGAUCGCCGCAGACAGUGAGGUGUUGCAAAGUCCCACCAAACCCACUCUGCUGGCGAUGGUGUCUCACUUCCAGAAGCUGUUUGACGCUCCGAGCCCGCGAGGCGUUUACCCACGCACGAACGAGGUUUACACCCGCCUGGCAGAGACGAACAACGCCAUGAGGAAUCUCAGAGACAUCCUGGAUAUGGACGAGGCCGCGUCCCCUGGCGACGUGGUGAACGCGGUGGCCGGUGUCGCGACUGGACAACACAGACUGAACGCGCUGAUCGAAAGCGCCGACAUAGACAGGGAUACAGAGGCUGGAAGACAUUUUACCCACAGUGAGAGCACUCAAGUCACACGACUGCUCUGGGACCUCGAGGGGUUGAAUUGUCAAAUCACAAUGGCAAAAACAGCAGCACAGAGACAGAGGCAAAGAAAAGACGGAGCGAGAAAGGAACCGUGUCAAAUCGGAGAGAGAGAGACUCCAUCCGGCUUAGUACUGCACGUGGCCGAACGACGGGCCGAUCGUCUGCUCCUACCACGAUCCGCCGUCUGGGUUGUAGUCCAACGCGACAGGCGCAAAGAUGUUUUUUUUUUUUACAAAGCCAAGCUGGAAGAGUGCGCUGACGGUCGACAACGACCUCCACGAUCCGUAGCGGUGUGGCUUGAAGGCGGCGCGUUCUACACGAACGGCUCUGGCGGCGGUCACCGAGAAGCUUGACGCGGCCGAAGGGGCGGAACCGCGGCGGGUCCUCGUUCUUCUCGAUGUCUCUGCAGCCUUCGACAGGGCGAAUAGCGGCAUUCUCUCGUCUACCCUCUCCGACCUGGGAGCGUCUGGACCGGCACGGCGACGGACGGCCUCCUACCCGGAAGGGCGCUCGCACUGAGCGUCACGUGCACUCUCUGGACCGGUGUCCCUCUGGGCCAUGUAGUGGGCCCACUCGUUAUCUCUAUGUACGGCUGCUCUCCGGGGGUGGACACCUGACGGUUCCCCGGCUGCUACGGAGCGUCCGGUGUGGCGAAGCUCUGGCUCAGAUGACGGCAAAAGUGUCAAUGUGUAGG